RNAcentral lists this long non-coding RNA (1663 nucleotides) under Gallus gallus (chicken). Its description in RNAcentral is "long non-coding RNA NONGGAT003139". The record is from RNAcentral. Lineage: Eukaryota; Metazoa; Chordata; Aves; Galliformes; Phasianidae.
CGUGGGCUCUGCAGAGCAGGCACCUUGUUUAACCCAUCCCUGGGCAGAGUGAAAGCCACAGCCAACGAUGGACAGAAGAGACACAUGAAGGUGGUGACGCACUGAACAGGUUGCCCAAGGAGGCUGUGGAUGCCCCAUCCCUGGAGGCAUUCAAGGCCAGGCUGGAUGUGGCUCUGGGCAGCCUGGGCUGCUGGUUGGCAGCCCUGCACACAGCAGGGGGUUGGAACUGAUGAGCAUUGUGGUCCUUUUCAACCCAGGCCAUUCUAUGAUUCUAUGACAAUGGCCCCUUCCAACCCACUGCAAUUGGGGUGGCUCUGUGGACAUCACUGUGGCACUGGGAGAUGACACUGCCCUCCACCACGCUUUGGGAUGCCCUCUGGAGACCCAGAGGCUCUGCUUCUUAUUACCACGAACAAACUCAAAGGCUGUGAUGCAGGAAAUCAACGGCGCUGUUUUCUUCCACCUUUCAACUGAAUCCCACGUUUGGUUAUUUCUUAAGAUGGGCAAAACUCUGCUGCGACGCCACGAACAAAGCUGCUGGCACAGAGAAGCUCUAAAGCUGUUUCGUGAACCAAGACUCACCUCAGACCCUAAUGAGUGCCAGACCAACCAGAGUCACACCUGUGGAUGCAGAGUGCUACCCCCACAACAACAGUCCUUGCAUUAGUCAAGGUCCCUGCUGGUAACCUGAAUUUUGUUGUAUUCUCUGGGAGACAGCACAGAAAUCAAAGGCUCACACAGCUGGCAGUAAUUCACAGUGGGAAAACGCUCCUGGCUGCUUAUUUAUCAGAGCCUCAAUACCCCCAGAACCCAUAGGGCUCAUACAGCAUCAGGAUGUGCUGUAAUGUUUUUUCACAGGGAGCAGCCAGAGAUGCAUGCUGCAGAAGGAAUCCUUUCCCUGCAUUAAGCCUGGACCCCCAGACCUGGCUGCUAAAGCCUCCACCCAAACAGCCCCCUCUGUCCUGCCCCUUCCCAGCACCAGGGUGUAGAGCAGUCAUUGGAGAACCACUGAACAGCAUCUUCUUCACUACUUAACGUAGAGUGUUUUGCUGUCCUUCCACGGCAUACAAACACAUGUGGGCUACAGGAGAGAUGCUUCUCAGCAGGAGCCUGCUCUGCAUUUAUGGGGCUAUAAAUUAGGUCUCCAGAGUAAGGUAUUUUGUGAGGAAAUGAGGCCCAUUACCCCAGUUCUGUUACUUAAAAGAGGUAACAGUUUACACCGGAGGAUAACAGCCAGCUUUCUUCUAAGCAAGCACUGAGGGCAAAAGGAACCACUGUGCAGGAUGCAGCCCAGAGCUGCUCCCAGAAGAGGUGCUGUGGGGACAACUAUGGCCAAGGCUCGGGGCUGGCAACAGGGAAGGACAGCAGCAGUGGGAUGGAUGCAAUGGGACGGAGACCAUCUGCUGGCAAAUCAGGCGCAUCAGCACUAAAGUGCUGCUCAAAACCAAAGAUUGGAGAGCUCCAGCUCCAGGUGUGUGCCACAGCAGUGGGACACCUCUGCACUGCCAGCAGCCACUGCACUGCCAGGCUUAGUGCUACCUGGGGAGCAGGGCACCGAGCCCAGCUCUGCCUGCAUGGGGGAUCACACCCUGUGCACCAGCAAAGCCCUCCCCGUGCCGUGCCAGCACCGCCUGAGCACGCUUGGAGAGUUAAGAAGCUCCCA